AGAACGAACGCUGGCGGCAGGCCUAACACAUGCAAGUCGAGCGCCCAGCAAUGGGAGCGGCGGACGGGUGAGUAACACGUGGGAAUAUGCCUUUCGGUUCGGCACAACUCAGGGAAACUUGAGCUAAUUCCGGAUACGCCCUUACGGGGAAAGAUUUAUCGCCGAAAGAUUAGCCCGCGUUGGAUUAGCUAGUUGGUGAGGUAACGGCCCACCAAGGCGACGAUCCAUAGCUGGUUUGAGAGAACGACCAGCCACACUGGGACUGAGACACGGCCCAGACUCCUACGGGAGGCAGCAGUGGGGAAUCUUGGACAAUGGGGGAAACCCUGAUCCAGCCAUGCCGCGUGAGUGAUGAAGGCCUUCGGGUUGUAAAACUCUUUUGGCGGGGUACGAUAAGUGACGGUACCCGCAGAAUAAGCUCCGGCUAACUUCGCGCCAGCAGCCGC
RNAcentral lists this ribosomal RNA (446 nucleotides) under uncultured bacterium. RNAcentral describes it as "SSU rRNA". It matches the Rfam family "Bacterial small subunit ribosomal RNA", at positions 26 to 518 of the family's 1533-position model. The record is from RNAcentral.